GACGAACGCUGGCGGCGUGCUUAACACAUGCAAGUCGAACGGAAAGGCCCUGCUGUUGUGGGGUGCUCGAGUGGCGAACGGGUGAGUAACACGUGAGUAACCUGCCCUUGACUUUGGGAUAACUUCAGGAAACUGGGGCUAAUACCGGAUAGGAGCUCCGGCUGCAUGGUGGGGGUUGGAAAGUUUCGGCGGUUGGGGAUGGACUCGCGGCUUAUCAGCUUGUUGGUGGGGUAGUGGCUUACCAAGGCUUUGACGGGUAGCCGGCCUGAGAGGGUGACCGGCCACAUUGGGACUGAGAUACGGCCCAGACUCCUCCGGGAGGAAGCAGUGGGGAAUAUUGCACAAUGGGCGGAAGCCUGAUGCAGCAACGCCGCGUGCGGGAUGACGGCCUUCGGGUUGUAACCCGCUUUCGCCUGUGACGAAGCGUGAGUGACGGUAAUGGGUAAAGAAGCACCGGCUAACUACGUG
RNAcentral lists this ribosomal RNA (468 nucleotides) under uncultured bacterium. RNAcentral describes it as "partial 16S ribosomal RNA". It matches the Rfam family "Bacterial small subunit ribosomal RNA", at positions 28 to 507 of the family's 1533-position model. The record is from RNAcentral.